RNAcentral lists this transfer RNA (74 nucleotides) under Nitrospirota bacterium. RNAcentral describes it as "tRNA-Asp". It matches the Rfam family "tRNA". Rfam says of the family: Transfer RNA (tRNA) molecules are approximately 80 nucleotides in length. Their secondary structure includes four short double-helical elements and three loops (D, anti-codon, and T loops). Lineage: Bacteria; Pseudomonadati; Nitrospirota. The record is from RNAcentral.
GGCGUAGUAGCUCCAAUGGCCAGAGCGCCCGACUGUCGAUCGGGAAGCUACGGGUUCGAGUCCCGUCUGCGCCG